Molecule: long non-coding RNA, 2899 nt
Filed under: Pan troglodytes (chimpanzee)
Lineage: Eukaryota; Metazoa; Chordata; Mammalia; Primates; Hominidae
Description: long non-coding RNA NONPTRT003218
Source: RNAcentral
GUGGGGAGGAGGCUAGCCACGCAGACAGCCUGCUGCUAGGUGUGCCGUGGAACCGCGGAGCUAAUUACAGAUCUGGUCACCACCAUGCUGAGCGCCAGGGAGGAGGGAAUGGGGAGACACUAAGCCCACGAGACAGGAACACAGUGCCUGGUGAAACAGAGCCAGCCAGUGCUGAUGCAAGUAUUGACUGAGUUCAUAACCUGAUCUGCCCGUGGGAGGGGGAAUAUUUGACAGAACGCAUCAGCCGAGGGUGGUGAGCUAGGCACUGGGAGAGUGAGCAAGACAGGACCAAGCGGGGACGCCCUCGGCCACGACUGCCUUCUCUCAGGGUCUUCCCACCCUGAUGAUCCCGAGGAACCCAAUGUGCCCCCUAUGGCAAUUCCGUCUGUUUCCAACUCCUCAUUGGCUUCAUGUGGGCUUCCCGGGCUCAUUGCUCAUCUGCGUGGAAUCUGCUGAAGCCACAGCACUGAGCUGAAGCUCACUGGUUCUUGAAUGUCACUAGCUGCUCCUGUCCCUGGGCCAUUCAAUGUCAGUGUCCGCCCUGUGGCUCUUCCUUGCUUUCUAGCUGCCAAUCAGCCGCUUCCCGUCUUCUUCUCUUCAGUCCUCUCUCCCUUCCCCAGUGCACCUUAAACCCUUCUGGCUGCACUGAUGGGCUCUCCUUUCUAGCAUUUCUGUCUGAUCUCUGACCCUAACCCUGUCCUGGCCUGGGAGUGCCCUGAGAUCCUGACUGCCCUUCUUGGCUCCCAGGCAGGGCUCAGUCCCAGGAGAUGGGCCUUAGGAGGUGCAGACUCCUGCUGGGCCCACUCAGCAUUUGCCACAGCAGGUAGGCAGGCAGUCACAUGGUCACAUGGCCCAUCCCAAAUCUCUACAUCACAACCCAGAUUUUCUCCAUUAAGGGUAUUGAUUUCCUCGGCUGAACUGCUGGGAUCAAAGGCAGCCUUGGCAACUCGGCAGUUCAUUAAGUCCCAGCUGUCCCAGGGGACUGGCCUGGUGGAUAAACAUGUGAGCAGGAGGCCAUGCUGGGACCUUGAGGGCAGCCUGCUGCCAGGAGUGCUCAGGCUGGACCUGGGCAGGGCAGCAGGAAGGGCAGACCUCAGGCUGCCUUUUUGUCCCCUCCCUCCAGGAACUGGGCUUUGGGGCCCUCCCCAGGGCCUGCAGGAACCAUAUGGGGAUACUGCACCUGUUCCCACCCUGCUCCUGCCAUUUUCCUACCUGCCCUCCCACCAGAUACCUGCCAGGCCUUGUGCUGGGCACUGAAGAUGCAGAGCUUCCUAAGCCUCUAACCCCACCCUCAAGGAGCUCCCACUCCAGUGAGGAAGGCAGACCCCAUACCAUAGCGUUACCAGGCUGCGUACUAACAUCUGAUCGUCAGAACCAUUCCCAACUCAGAGAUUAAGUGUGAUAGGCAGCCUGUUUCAACCAGAGCAUUUCUUCUAGAUUUUUGUUCUUGCUUUUCAAAGUGACUCAUUGGAAAAAUUUUGGGCGAUACAGACCCUGAAGCACAAAGUAGAACAUGAAAUUUACACUAAUCAAGGCUGUUGGUUUUUUCAACUUCCCUUCCCUCUGCCUGAUCUGGAGACUGAGGUAAUUGCUGAAGGAUUUUUGCUUCAAACAGGCUCUUGUUUGCAUCAAGUGUGGGGUGCAGCAAAGUGGACUCGGGACUGGCCGAUGUCUGGCCAGAAAUGCCAGGCAAGGGAAACAGUGACUCUCGUGGGGUCAGGAGAGGGGCAUCUGCUGGCCCAGGAGCGCAAGGCAGAGGAGUGAGUCUUUCUGAGGUCGGUAUCAGGUCCAUUCAUUUGCUCUAAUGUAAGCCUUCUUGGGCAGGAACCAUCUUCCCCUUCUCUAAUCAUCGAGGAAAGGGGCCUUCAGACCUGCGCUGGCCUGGGCCAAGAUGAGGGAUUCUAAUUUCAUUGUCAGUGUCUUGAUGUUUCAGGAGCUCAUGGCACUUGAAAAUAUGGGCUUUGCAUCAUGCAGGUGAGGCGACUCUGAGGCAGGAGGUCCAAGUUUGCUGGACAAUGGCAGAAACAGAAUUCAAAAACACCUGUCUUCUAGGAGAAGUUCUGGUCUCUCCUCGGUGCUGUGGCUGCCCCAGGAAGAGCUUCCAGGAGCUGACAAGCAUUCAGAUGAGUAAAGAUGGGAUCAGAUUGAGAAAAGAAGAAGGGAGAGCAUAUUCAUUCUCUUUCCACUUCCCUCCCACAGCCUUUCAUGCUGAUCUCAUCUGAGGAGGCUGCCUCCUCCUCCCUGGACUCUACAAGCCCCUGUCAUGGUCAGCGGCAAUGUUGUCCACAGUGGGUGGCCAGCCUUGAUCUAGCAGUAAAGGAUGGAUUCUGUUAUUUCAGUGAUGUGGGGCUCAGGGUAAUGAAAAUGAUCAUCAAAAAGCAAAAGUAAAGCUGUCCUCACAGGGUUAACAAGAAUUCUGGGCAGAAAUACGGCUAUAAUUAGGCAUUAAUCAGGCUGCACUUUAACCCACUUCCUUGUAACUGACAGACACGGUAGGACUAGAUACUGGCCGUUUGCAUCCCUAAUGUUCCUAUAGAUGGGAUUUCUGAUGUUAGAGCUAUAAGGCUUUUGUUUAAGACAGACAAGAUCUUUGACAUUAGAAUCAUAAGGCUCCUGUUUAAAAAUUGCUUAAGAUGUUUCUCAGAUCCUGAAUUCCAGCAAAACAGAUGGUACUAACAAGUUUGAAGACCCCCAUAGAGGAAUGGAAUCAGUAUGAGAACACAGUUUCUUCAUCUCCCCGUCCCAGAACUUCACCCUGGACUCCUCGACCAAUCAACAAUCUCCACACUUCGGCCCACUCCAAAACUCCUAAAAUCCCAAGCCCCAAACUCCUCUGGGAGAUGGAUUUGAGGCUUCCUCCCGUUUCCUUGUGUGGCAGCCCUGUCAUUAAACCUCUUUC